GCCGCCUCUGAUCUCUUCGGAGUGAGGGGGAGUGGUGGAGCCGCUGAACCGGACUUGUAGUAGGUAAGUGAUGGGGUGACGCAGGAAGGUAGUCCAGCCCGGGCGGUGGUUGUCCCGGGGUAAGGGUGUAGGACGUUGUCCAGGUAAAUCCGGGCAGCUUUAAGUCUGAGACCUGAUGCCGAGCCGAUUGUGGUGAAGUGGAUGAUCCUAUGCUGUCGAGAAAAGCCUCUAGCGAGUUUCAAGGCGGCCCGUACCCUAAACCGACUCAGGUGGUCUGGUAGAGAAUACCGAGGCGUUCGGGUGAACUAUGGUUAAGGAACUCGGCAAAAUGCCCCCGUAACUUCGGGAGAAGGGGGGCCACUUCUGGUGAUCAUCUUUACGGUGUGAGCUGGGGGUGGCCGCAGAGACCAGCGAGAAGCGACUGUUUACUAAAAACACAGGUCCGUGCGAAGCCGUAAGGCGAUGUAUACGGACUGACGCCUGCCCGGUGCUGGAACGUUAAGGGGACCGGUUAGUCACAUUUCGGUGUGGCGAAGCUGAGAACUUAAGCGCCAGUAAACGGCGGUGGUAACUAUAACCAUCCUAAGGUAGCGAAAUUCCUUGUCGGGUAAGUUCCGACCUGCACGAAUGGCGUAACGACUUCUCGACUGUCUCAACCAUAGGCCCGGUGAAAUUGCACUACGAGUAAAGAUGCUCGUUUCGCGCAGCAGGACGGAAAGACCCCGGGACCUUUACUAUAGCUUGAUAUUGGUGUUCG
RNAcentral lists this ribosomal RNA (757 nucleotides) under marine sediment metagenome. RNAcentral's name for it is "LSU rRNA". It matches the Rfam family "Bacterial large subunit ribosomal RNA", at positions 1408 to 2126 of the family's 2925-position model. The record is from RNAcentral.